UCGUCAAACUACAGCAACCUCAUAGUGAAUAGCUGAGGCAUCGCAAAUCAAAGAACCAGUCAUACAACUGCAGCAUAAGUAGUCACUGACGAGUGGAUGACAUCCAUGUGACUACUAUCUUUGGUCACACUCAGUACUUUGUUCUCUAACAAGUACUUGCAUAAUCACUCCAAUGUCUCUAAAUCGUGGACUCGAGACUCGUCUAUCUGACUAAAUGAUCUGUGCACUAAUCUCAGCGGAUC
This 242-nucleotide long non-coding RNA is filed under the name Phoenix dactylifera (date palm). RNAcentral's name for it is "long non-coding RNA (PDAC_LNC010281)". The record is from RNAcentral. Lineage: Eukaryota; Viridiplantae; Streptophyta; Magnoliopsida; Arecales; Arecaceae.